This is an RNA transcript of Zea mays, 233 nucleotides long. It is a transcript of the gene named acyl transferase pseudogene, with no coding region annotated. The record is from RefSeq and is marked validated. Lineage: Eukaryota; Viridiplantae; Streptophyta; Magnoliopsida; Poales; Poaceae. The transcript has 3 exons.
CGGUGGCCGACUUUGUCAUGCCUUUCUUCCUCUUCAUCGUCGGAGUCGCCUUGGCGCUCGCGUACAAGAGAGUCCCGGACAAGUUGGACGCCUCGAGAAAGGCAUUGCUCCGUGCGCUGACGCUGUUUUGUCUUGGUCUUGGUCUUGUUCUACAAGGUGGAUUCUUUCAUGGUGUUCGUAGUCUAAGUUUUGGGGUUGACCUUCGAGAAAUACGGCUGAUGGGUGUACUGCAG